ACCAGACUCCUACGGGAGGCAGCAGUGGGGGAUAUUGCACAAUGGGGGGAACCCUGAUGCAGCGACGCCGCGUGGGUGAAGAAGCGCCUCGGCGCGUAAAGCCCUGUCAGCAGGGAAGAAAAUGACGGUACCUGAAGAAGAAGCCCCGGCUAACUACGUGCCAGCAGCCGCGGUAAUACGUAGGGGGCAAGCGUUUUCCGGAUUUACUGGGUGUAAAGGGGGCGCAGACGGCGAUGCAAGCCAGGAGUGAAAGCCCGGGGCCCAACCCCGGGACUGCUCUUGGAACUGCGGCGCUGGAGUACGGGAGGGGCAGGCGGAAUUCCUGGUGUAGCGGUGAAAUGCGUAGAUAUCAGGAGGAACACCGGCGGCGAAGGCGGCCUGCUGGACCGUGACUGACGUUGAGGCUCGAGAGCGUGGGGAGCAAACAGGAUUAGAUACCCCUGUAACA
Molecule: ribosomal RNA, 448 nt
Filed under: uncultured bacterium
Lineage: Bacteria
Description: partial 16S ribosomal RNA
Rfam family: Bacterial small subunit ribosomal RNA
Source: RNAcentral